AUUGAACGCUAGCGGGAUGCUUUACACAUGCAAGUCGAACGGCAGCGCGGACUUCGGUCUGGCGGCGAGUGGCGAACGGGUGAGUAAUGUAUCGGAACGUGCCCAGUAGCAGGGGAUAACUACGCGAAAGCGUAGCUAAUACCGCAUACGCCCUACGGGGGAAAGCAGGGGAUCGUAAGACCUUGCACUAUUGGAGCGGCCGAUAUCGGAUUAGCUAGUUGGUGAGGUAACGGCUCACCAAGGCGACGAUCCGUAGCUGGUUUGAGAGGACGACCAGCCACACUGGGACUGAGACACGGCCCAGACUCCUACGGGAGGCAGCAGUGGGGAAUUUUGGACAAUGGGGGCAACCCUGAUCCAGCCAUCCCGCGUGUGCGAUGAAGGCCUUCGGGUUGUAAAGCACUUUUGGCAGGAAAGAAACGUCGCGGGCUAAUACCCCGUGGAACUGACGGUACCUGCAGAAUAAGCACCGGCUAACUACGUG
This 484-nucleotide ribosomal RNA is filed under the name uncultured bacterium. RNAcentral's name for it is "partial 16S ribosomal RNA". It matches the Rfam family "Bacterial small subunit ribosomal RNA", at positions 30 to 507 of the family's 1533-position model. The record is from RNAcentral.